This 74-nucleotide transfer RNA is filed under the name bacterium. RNAcentral describes it as "tRNA-Gly". It matches the Rfam family "tRNA". Rfam says of the family: Transfer RNA (tRNA) molecules are approximately 80 nucleotides in length. Their secondary structure includes four short double-helical elements and three loops (D, anti-codon, and T loops). RNAcentral also lists the same sequence under 2 other names. The record is from RNAcentral.
GCGGGAGUAGCUUAGUGGUAAAGCUCCAGCCUUCCAAGCUGGCUAUGCGAGUUCGAUUCUCGUCUCCCGCUCCA